GGAAUAUUGGACAAUGGGCGCAAGCCUGAUCCAGCAAUGCCGCGUGAGUGAUGAAGGCCUUAGGGUUGUAAAGCUCUUUUACCCGAGAUGAUAAUGACAGUAUCGGGAGAAUAAGCCCCGGCUAACUCCGUGCCAGCAGCCGCGGUAAUACGGAGGGGGCUAGCGUUGUUCGGAAUUACUGGGCGUAAAGCGCACGUAGGCGGCGAUUUAAGUCAGGGGUGAAAGCCCAGUGCUCAACACUGGAACUGCC
RNAcentral lists this ribosomal RNA (250 nucleotides) under uncultured bacterium. Its description in RNAcentral is "partial 16S ribosomal RNA". It matches the Rfam family "Bacterial small subunit ribosomal RNA", at positions 358 to 625 of the family's 1533-position model. The record is from RNAcentral.